AACUAUUAUAUAUAAUGAAUUUUUAUUUUUUUUUUUUUUUGAGGGAAAACACGCCCUUAGGCGAAUUUAUUUAUCAAUCGGGAGGUACAACUUGGUAGAAUUCAUCUACAGAGGACCAAAAAGAGAGUUUUUUGCUAGUAAGCCCCCAGUUGGCCAAUCGAUCUGCAACUACAGCAUUUUUAGAAUAUCUAGACGACCAUCCAUAACUAAAUAGCUUAGAACUUUCAAGAAAAGUUCGGAGAUCCGAGAUUCUUGUUCGAGCUUCAUCUGUUAACGAAACUGAAUGAUAGCUCCUAAGGUGCAAGGCUUUGAUGAUGGGUGCUGAAUCUGAGUAGAUAUGAAAAGUUUCUCCCGGAUACCUUUGCAANUGUUGGCCAGCUCGUGAGCCGGUUUGUGUUCGGCUCGUUUAUUAAUGAGUCGAACACGAGCUGAAUUUUUCGGCUCGAUAUUUUAACGAGCCAGAUUGUAUUCAGCCAAACACCAGCCGGCCCCGGCUCGCUCGUGUUCGACUCGUUUACACCCCCUACUAGGGGGGACCGCAAUCAUCCCAAUGUAGGGUUGCAAAUGGAUCCGGGUUAGUGAAAUUUUCACGAUGAUCUGUCUCGAAUGGGACAGUAAGUGAGAGCAAAAUAUAUAGAAAAAUAUAACCCGCCACGAAUCCGCCCUGAUUCGUCGAGUUAAUGGAGUGGGAGGUAGGGGAUCCUUUUCGUCUUCGAUCUGUCCCUAUUCAUAAAAAAAUUUAUCAAAAAUU
This 751-nucleotide long non-coding RNA is filed under the name Ananas comosus (pineapple). RNAcentral's name for it is "long non-coding RNA (ACOM_LNC011876)". The record is from RNAcentral. Lineage: Eukaryota; Viridiplantae; Streptophyta; Magnoliopsida; Poales; Bromeliaceae.